Molecule: non-coding RNA, 33031 nt
Organism: Pelobates cultripes (western spadefoot toad)
Lineage: Eukaryota; Metazoa; Chordata; Amphibia; Anura; Pelobatidae
Source: the annotation of a GenBank genome assembly
CUUCGAUUCCUGCUGAACAUGCAUCAAAACAGUUAAGUAGUAAGUGUUUUUUUUGUUUUUUUUUCUCAUAAAUAUAAGAAAUCUGCCUGGGAAUUGUACCACUAGUAUUCGCUGUGAUAGUUAUUGAUUGGGCAUAAGUGAAAUGUCAUUUAAAUAAAUUAGUGUAAUCAUACAACCCACAUGCUAUUUUCAGAGGGCAAAAAAACGAAAAACAAAUUCCAUUACAAGAAACAGAGUUUUGUUUAUCGGGUAACUGGUUAUGCACUAAGGUAAUUAUUCUGUUAGAGUUAUGUGCCAUUUCUCCUGCACUCGCCCGAGGGGCCUUCAAAAAAGAAUAGAAUUAAUUCUAUGCCAGAAACACGAGGUUCAUAACUUCAUCUCUGUCAUAAAACAGGAGUCACACAAACAAAAUGACAUUUUCUUUCAUAAUUGCUUGACCUGCACCACUCCGAGGGUAAUCAGCUUGCUCGCAAACUUUUGUUCCACUUUUAAAGAAGUUAUAAUAAAGGGAAAUUGUAACUCGUAAUGCCAUAAACCAUUAGAAAAAAAAAAUAUAUAAUAAAAAAUAUACAUAAACUGGUUGACUUAAACCAAUUGCAUCGUUAAUUAUAAUAAGCAUUAAUUUGAUAUUUUUAGGUACAUUGAACAAUAAAUAAAUAGUUUCACUUCUGUUUUCUAAAAGAAUCUGAGCUCAGACAAGAAAAAUGCAUUGCUAUUUUCUUCGGUUCCUCUGUAAAAUAGGUCAAAAAUAAAACAUGGAACUUAAAGGGACAUUCUAGGCACUGUAACCAUUUCAUCUUAUUGAAUCAGAUAUAGUUCCUGGAGUCCCCCGGCACUGUUAAACCAUUUCAAGCAGUUUCUGUCAUGAUCACUAGAGGAACCUAAGCACACAGACGGGACACUACACAUAGAAUCAGUGGUGUAUCCUGGUUUUGUGCUGCCCUAGGCUGCCCACUGACAUGGUCAGUGGGUCUGGGCUAUUCUAAGUGGUGGAACUCUAGUUCCCCCCCAAUCCCCACCCAUUGGACCUAGUGUUUUCCCCCAGCCACUGCCUAUGGGUAAUAAUAUUAAGGGGACAUAACAUAUUUUCCUCCCUCUUUCCCUGGCCCGUUUGGCCGGUGGAGACCCUAAUCAUAAAAUUCAGAGAGAGAAGACCUAGUGUCCCCUAAAGCCCCCUAAGGCAGUAGGUGGAGAUUAUAAAUAAUUACACAAUGUGGGCCUGAUAUUGUUUAACAACCCCAAAUAGUGGCAAGUAUACCAAAUUCCCUACUGAUUGGCUUGGCAGCUCAAUCUCCUAGCUACCCCUUAUAAAAUUAAAAAAACUCUACCUACCUUCCCUCACUCUAAUAAUAGUGAGGGGACAAUUAAACUAUUACCUGUGAAUUGAUAAAAUUAUACUUACCAUCAAAAGUCUCCAUUCUUCUAACUCUUCCUUUCUUCAGCCCAUCCAAGUACUGGUCAGCCACCACAUAAUUAAUCCUCGCACUGCCAAGGGUUUUUUAACUGUUUGCCUGCUACCUGCUAGAGCUGCCAGCAGACAAAUAGAACUAAAAAUGAUCAUUCACUUGCAAAUAAGCAGGUGAACGAUAAUUUGUGAAUGUGCAUCCUGCCAGAUGUAUUUGGUUCUGAAUUUUAGUAAAACCAGUGCCUUGUGAGUACAAAUUAAAGGUUAAGAUGCAAAAGCACCAAUUUGAAUCUGGACACCGAAUGCAUGUGGGCAACAGCUUGGGCCGAACGAAAUCCAACUGUAUUUGGCUUUAGGAAAUGUGAGUCUUGCCAUUGCAGUUGAAAAUCGGUCUUAUUUCACCAUAUUUUGACAUUUACGGAAAAAUUUUGUCUCUAGUGAAUAAUCCUGUUAGCCCUUUUUUAUGUCAAUGUAUAUAUGCUACUGAAUCUGUUGGCGCUAUACAAAUGGCAAUAAUAAUAAUAAUAAUAAUACCUGCACACAAGAGCAGAGAAGUGCAAUUGUACCUCGUUUUUUUUUUAUCAUUUAAAAUCUAUGUGAAUGUACAGUUUAUAUUAUAUUUUCUCUGGGUGCAAUACCCAAAUAUAACGUACAGGACGUGCAUAUCCUCUUUGAGUUGUUCCCACUCUGCUCUUUCUUUCUUUUUCCAGUUAUUUGGGACCAAUCUUGUUUUGCUCUGCUGCUAUGGGAGAGUAGCUAAACUGGAAUCAUAACAGACCUAGAGAUUUUUUUUGUAGGUUUAGCUAUUUUGUUCUCAAAUUUAAAAUCUACUUUGAAUACUCACUUUUUGACUCUGUACCAGGAAUUAAAAAUGAAAUUAAAGUAAAUUUCAAAUUUAAGGCUAAAAUAAUCUAACUGGAAAAAAUCUCCAACUUACCUGUGCUUCAAAUUACGCUAUGUUGGCCUUACAUGUGAAAUUCUGUUCAAAUUCACUUCAAAUUCAUGUCAAUUCUCCCUUUAUUAUUAUUAUGUUAUUUAUAUAGCGCCAUCAAAUUCCACAGCGCUUUACAAUGGGUGGACAAACAGAUGAUAGUGUGUGUAAAUGCCAGUAGGUGUCUAAUUGCUGAGCAUUGGAACACACAAGACUUGCACACAAAUCUUGUUCAGCUGCAAUGAAUUAAUCAAAUGCCUGUUAAACACUGGGUGAACAGAAUAGGUUAUUUUUCUGGUACGAGUGAGUAGAGCGAUUAACAGGCACUUGAAUGGCUCAGCAGAGAUGAACAGGUUGUGUGCACAAUUCUAAAACUCACCCUGGAAUUCCUUCAUUUGCAGAGGCUGUGCAAUAUAUUGAGCUGUUAAAAUGGACCGGGUUUCUGCAAUCGCCUCUCAACGCGACUAAACAAUGUCAAAACAGUACCUCGAGGGAUAUCAGCUAUACAUCACUGACGAUGCCUAACACGGCUGAAACGGUCAUAUGGGGUUGCUGUAUCUCUUAUGCAGAGAGAGCCAACCUGCAUUCUGGAUCUGGACAGCUCUUUUGGGUGGGAUUAGUCUGAUAUGCAAAUGGACCUGGUUCUUUUUAUAAUGGCACAAGAUGAGCUAAAACCAGCUUGAAGGGCAGACUAUUUGAGCUGUUGUCCAUGCUCAGUACUCUCUUGCACCUUGUUUUUUUUCCUUUCCAUAAGUUAAAAGGGUAAUCCAGGCGUAGACUCCUUGCUCACGGUGCCUAGAGGGAUAUCAGUUAUACCUCACUAACGAUGCCCAACAAGGCUGAAACAAUCGUCUGGGGUUGCGUUAUCUUUUGUGCAGAGAGAGACGGCACGCAUUUCGGAUCUGGACCGCCAUUUUAGAUGGGAUCAGUCUGAUAUGCAAAUGGCCCUUGUUCUUUUUAUAAUGGCACAAGAUGAGCUAAAACCAGUUUGAGAUUUGAGCGGGAACCCACCGAAGGGCAGGCUAUUUGAGCUUUUGUCUGUUCUCGGUACUCUCUUGCACCUUAUUUUUUGCACUAAGCAAUGUCAAAAUGUCAACCGUCCUCAGUGCUUAUAGACAGUCCUAAACUAUAUAAUGAAAUAGGCUAUCUUAAAUAUAAUUUCUAUACUUUUGUAUGUUAAAUGACUGCAAUUAUCAAUGUAUAUCCACUGUUUAGUGCAAAGUAUUCCAUGUGUUGUAAAGAAAAAGGCUCUGCUAGUUCAUGUCUAGUCAUAAUUAGUAGGCUAUAACUGGUUACAGUCUGUCCCAUAAGUGCCUCGCUAGUGAAUUGCUUUACUGAGCAGGGACCCAUGCCUCUUCUCGUAUAUUAAAAUAAGCUUGGUAAGAUAAAAUGUAAGUGCGUAGGAAGUGGAAGGUGGUGAUUUAUUGAGCAUGUCACCAUAAAUGAUUCUUAAAUCCAAUCAAUGUAAUUCUUUAAUGGAUUUGAUGCUGAUGCACAGUCAGUUCUGUGAAAUAUUUGAUUGAUAUGCAGAUUCCCAUUUCAUUAGCGCACAAUAUUUAAUUAACUCUAUAAUUCCAGAGAUUGCAUCGUGACGUUACAGUUGCAGGGAAAAAUAAUCAGACAUUAAAAAAGUUUUUUAAAAAGUUGCUAAUUAAUUAUUUGCAGGGAAACAAAAAGGCACUAAUUGAAUGAUAAUUCUGCAGAAAAAAAAUGAAACUAGUUUAAUAGAGAGUUUCAGAUCCUUAUUGUUCUCGCUGUGAGACACAAAGUCCACUGCUGGAGCCGAAGUCUAUUUACCCAAAUCCUGUCCUACGUACAAUCCUGUUAAUGAACUUGUCCCCACAGAAGGGUUUCUAUUGGUCCUUUAUUCAUUUGCAAAAUAUAAUCAUAUCAGUCUGUACAUUUAAAAAUCAGGAUUUAAAUCGAGUCUUACUGACUAGUGAUUAAAUAAAUCAAAUCCUGUAUUUCCCAUACUGUGUUGUUCGUUUAUCUUCAUCACUACAAUCUUCUAUUUCUAAACUAAGGUUGUGCUUUUCCUCGUGCACUUUUCAACAAAUUGAGAACCAUCCAGAUGUCUAUCCAGGUUGUAUUAUCCCAUCCGAACGCUGUACAUCUCCCUGUAAGUUAAUGAUGUAACUCUGUGUGCUGCCCUUCCUGUCUCUCAGCAAUAAACCCUUCGUUAAUAUUAAGGAAGUAAUUUCUCAUAAUUAUCUGCUAAAAAAAGAAUAUAAAAAUUUAAAUCAUACUGGCAUACAUCUAUUGUCUUACAAGUGCUGAUGACCACAUUAAAGGGUCACUCCAACCCAAAAACUGGAUUAAAAAAAAAAAAAGCUUUUGAAUAGAGAAAGGCUAGACUGGGAAAAAAAACUGGCCUGGGCAUUUUUCAAUCACAGCGGAGAAGGGUGCGGGGCCAGACAGGGUCCUGUGUUUUGUCAUCACUAAUGACAAGUACAACCCCUCUCAAAGUAAGCAUGUUGGUUCACUGCGCAGAGCCCCGCUAAAGAGCUCUAGCAUGAGAAAAGGGCCCUGUAUUAGUUCUGCGCAGCGCCAGCAAAUGUUAUAACAUGCUUGCGCUGUGUUUGCUUUUAAUUUGUCUCUGGCGUCUCCAUAAGUGGGAUACCAAAAGACAAAAGGACCAGGAAAGCGUAUGGAGCAUGUGUUUGGAGCCUGCUUGUGGGAUUGCGUGUGUAGAGUGAGAUGAUUGUGGUGUGGUAUUAAUAUGUAAUAUGUGUGGCUAGGGGCUGUAGAAGGUGUGCAUAUAGGGGGCAUAGUGUGUAUAGGGGAUGUAGAGAGUGUGUGCAUACGGGCUGUAGAGUGUGUGUGUCUCUAUAGGUGACGUAGUGUGUGUAGGGUUUGUAGAGAGUGUGUGUUUAGAGAAUGUUGUAUGUGUUUGCAUACAAGGAAUGUAGUGUGUGCAUAGCGGAUCCAGAGAUUGUAUGUCAGGAAUGUAGUGUGUGUAGGUGGUGCAGUGUGUGUAUAGGGAAUCUAGUGUGUAAAGGACCCAGAGUGUGUAUAGGAGAUUGUAUGUGUGUGUGUGUGUGUGUGUUUGUAGAGGAUUCAGAGUGUAUAUAGGGUAAGGGAUCUAGCGUGUAUCUGGAGCAUAAUGUGUGUAGUGGUGCAGUGUGAGGGGUUCUGUAGUGUAUGUAUAUAUACAUAUACAAAAAUAUAUAAAUAUGUUUUGACGUAUUGUAUGUGUGAAGGGUGCAGCAUGUGUGUGAGGGGUGCAGUGUGUGUGUAAGAGGGGUGCAGUGUGUGUCUGAGGGUGUUCUUAUCUACCGUCACAUUCUGUUUCUAAUUUUCUUUAUCUGUUAACUCACUGAUGGUUAUUUUAUAUAUGAUAUAUAUGUAUAUAAAAAAACAUAUAUAUAUAUAUGUGUGAGUGUGUGUGUGUGUGCUGUAUAUGUGUGAGGGUGCUGUUAGUGUUAGUGUAAUUGUGUGUGCUGUGUGUGUGAGAGUGUGCUUUGUGUGUGUGUGGGUGCUGUCUGUGUCUGAGGAUGCUGUGUGUGUGUGUGUGUGUGGGUGCUGUGUGUUUGUGAGGUUGCUGUUAGUGUUAGUGUGCAUGUGCUGUUUGUAAAGGAGUGUGCUGUGUAUGUGUGCUGUGUGUAUAUGAGAGAGCAGAGCUGCCAUCAGAAAUUUUAGGGCCCCUGACAGAGCUCAAGAUCUGGGCCCCCGGGGCCAGCCCCGAGUCCGCCCACAAGGAUGAAGUGUAUGUGUGUGUCUAUAGUGGAUGUAGAAUGUGUGUCAUUGAUGCAGUGUGUAUUGUAGAUGCAGAUUGUACGUUUUGUGUAAUGUAUGUAAUGUUUGUAUGCAUGCAUUAGAUGCAGAGUGUGUGUGUAGUGAAUGUAGGUGUGUAUAGUGAAUGCAGAGUGUAUGUUUGUGUAGUGAAUAUAGUGUGUGUUACAGUGAAUAGAGAGUGUGUGUUUUUGUAGUGGAUUUAGUGUGUGUACAGUGAAUGCAGAGUGUGUGUUUUGUAGUGGAUGUAGUGUGUAUAGUGCAUGGAGUGUGUUUGCAGUGAUUGUAGUGUGUUUGUAGUGAGUGCAAAGUGUGUAUAGUGCAUGUAGUGUGAUUGUGGUGAAUGCAAAAUGUGUAUAGUGAAUUUAGUGUGUUUGCAGUAAGCGCAAAGUGUAUAUAGUGAUUGUAGUGAGUGCAAAGUGUGUAUAGUGCAUGUAGUGUGAUUGUAGUGAAUGCAAAAUGUGUAUAGUGAAUGUAGUGUGAUUGUGGUUAAUGCAGAGUGUGUGUAUAGUGAAUGCAGUGUUUGUAGUGAGCGCAAAGUGUGUUUAGUAAAUGUAGUGUGUUUGUAGUGAGUGCAACGUGUGUAUAGUGAAUGUAGUGUGUGUAGUGCAAAGUGUGUUUAGGGGGCCGGGCCGUAUGGACACCAUAUGCAUGGGCUCCAGCACUAACCCGAGCAAAAAGGCACAAAAAAACAUUCCAGACUGCCUAAAAGUCGGAUACCUCGACAGCAAUGAACAGGGAACGGCCCCAUCUCAUCAUAGACGCCAGCGCACAACAUAUCACAAGCCGAGCAAGCGACAAAGACCGGGCCCGGCCUACACGCAGCCACAACAUGCAGUAUGGCGCCGAAGAAAGGCGCAGCCCCGAGACACUGGGCAGAUGAAGCCCCCGGUGUGCCGACCGCCUACACUGGCAAAAGCUGUAUGUGAAACAACAAGCCAGCAACAGUUGACACAGUCACGGAGGGAAAGGAGAGCUUUAGUGGGGAGGUUUAGGAGCUGAUACGGCGGAGGAAGUCCACCCUACAGAGGAAGCACCCAGGAAGAGAUGGCAGCGACACAAGAGAACAUGGAGGCCGCGGGAGUAAAGGACAUUUAUUACCUACGCUACAGGCCCUUUGUCUGUCUCAGGCUUAACUGCUUAUCACUGGUUGGACUGUGUGCCUUACCCUGAGAAACCACCCCAUUGACAUGACACCCGCAGGUGGAGGGGGCGCUGGUGGCGAUGCACAUGGGCGGUGGGGCCAGGUGGGAUGCUGACGCGGUGUCCUUGGGGCCCGCUGGCCGAAUGCUGUGGCUUUGGGACUGUGCCAUGCCGUGAUCGAGGUGCCGUCGCCUCUAGGUUUUGAGGAGGGCCUGAAGGUGGCUGUCCCCUACACUGUGAGCCAUAGUGAAGGGGAGUGUGGCAGCCCCCGGCAGACCAGUAGCUGAGGGGAAGUCCGCGCCUAAUCUAAGUGGCCAGAGAAGGGUGAGACACAUGAAGACCUUCGCCCCGUCUGGCUGGGGCCCUGGAGGCGCAGUGGGGGUACAGGAGAUGGCUGGCGCAUGGACUCUAGGUGAGGGGUCCUGUGGACUGGUGAGUCCCCGAGUGCCCGCUGCGCUAUGGAUCUCCCGGUUGGAGGCUUGGCGCAGCCUGGGAGCUGCUGCAGAUGGCUGGCACCUCUGGGAUCAUGUUUAUGGGCUUAGAAAAGCACGCCUGUCAUAUAAUGACUCUCUACAAUUAAGCUAACCCCCUGCGCUGGCAAAUUUAACUCUAAUAUCAUUAAUGUACCCGACUUUCAGUACGGCUUAAAGUUUUUUUUGUAUGAUUUCCAGUCAGUGUACACACGCACAGUUAAAAUGUUAUGUUGACAUCUACCGCUAUCACAAUGUGCCUCUGUGUAGGCAAACUUGCAUUUUGCUAUUAUACCAACAAUGUUGCAACAUACUCUGCACUAUAAAAUAAAAAAACAUUUAAAACAAAGUGUGUUUAGUGAAUGUAGUUUGUGUGUGUGUGUAUGUGAAGUGCAGAGUGCGUUUAGUAAAUGUAGUGUGUUUGUAGUGAGUGCAGAGUGUAUUUAGUGAAUGUAGUGUGAGUGUGUGUAGUGCAGAGUGUGUUUAGUGAAUGUAGUGUGUGUGUGUAGUGCAGAUUGCGUUUAGUGAAUGUAGUGUGUGUGUGUAGUGCAGAGUGCGUUUAGUAAAUGUAGUGUGUUUGUAGUGAGUGCAGAGUGUAUUUAGUGAAUGUAGUGUGAGUGUGUGUAGUGCAGAGUGUGUUUAGUGAAUGUAGUGUGUGUGUGUAGUGCAGAUUGCGUUUAGUGAAUGUAGUGUGUGUGUGUAGUGCAGAGUGCGUUUAGUAAAUGUAGUGUGUUUGUAGUGAGUGCAGAGUGUAUUUAGUGAAUGUAGUGUGAGUGUGUGUAGUGCAGCGUGUGUUUAGUGAAUGUAGUGUGUGUGUGUAGUGCAGAGUGUGUGUGUGUGUAAAAUAGGGGGGAGGGGAGUAUUAAAAAAAUAUAUAUAUUUGUGUAUAUUUAAAUAUUAUUCCCCUCUCCCUGCUUCUUACCGUGCCAGGGUGGGGGGAGAUCGCAUUGUGGAGUGAGCCAGCCGAUGUAAAUUGCAGAGGGGUGGCCCAGUAGCACACACCCUCUUCCUUUCCAGCUCCUAUCUGACUAACUCUUGCGAGACAGGCCUGCGUGCUGUGAGGAGCGUUGCCAUGGUAACCUGUGGCAAUGCUCUGGCGGCCGCAGAGCGCAGGAAAGUUAGACAGAGAACAUCUGGAAAGGAAGACAGAGUGUGCUGCUGGGCCCCCCUCUGCAAUGUACAGGUAGCAGGGGGCCCUCAGUGCACACAUAUAUAUAUAUAUAGCGAAAAUCCCUAUAUAUAUAUGUGCACAUAAGGAAUGUGGGGCUCGGACUGCCAGAAUAGUCCGGGCCCCCCAGGCCCGCCGGCCCAUGACAACCGUUAUGGUUGUCAUGCCCUGAUGGCGGCCCUGUGAGUGAGUUCUGUGUGUCUUAGUGUGCUGUGUGUGUGGGUGCUGUGUGUGUCUGAGGGAACUGUUAGUAUGAGUGUACUCAAAACUUUAUAUCCCCCCCUCUUCUUACCUUUAGCCUGGGGGGGAGAGGGGAACUGUGCUGCCAUGGAGGGGGGACUGUGCUGCCAUCUGUGGUGGUCUUAGUGGUGAGUGAACUCUAGCCUGCAGGGCUAGAGUUCACUCUCGCGAGAUCUGAGCGUUGCUGUGGUAACCGCGGCAACACUCCGACCUCGCGAGAUGAACCCGGCAGAGCUGCUUGGUAGACCUCCCCGGGCUCUCUCCUGCCGCCCUUCCUCCCCAGCCGGCGGCCGCAUGUCAGUGCCUGAGGGCCGUUGAAGGAGAUCUUUGAUCUCCACACUGGCCCAUGAAGGUACACAGUAGGGCCUGUGAUCUCCCCUGCCAGCCUCAGCCCAUAGCCAUCGCGGCCCACCGGGCAUUUGCCUGGUAUGCCUGAUGGCCAGCCGGGCCUGGAUCAGAGUAAACUUUCCAAUUUAGGUUCCUCCCCUCCUCCAAUUAAAUAAAUAACAGCUAAAAUUGAACUGCUUUCCAUCACUGAAGCCAGGUCUUCGAUGUUUAUCUACUGACACCAUAACCCCUGGUGGAGUAGGAGGGAUGUCAGGGAGGACGACUGAGGGGAGGAUGGGUGGCAGGUUGGGGGAGCCCACGCUGCCAUUGGCUGCCUGUCACGAACAUAGUGCCGGCAUACAUGCAACAGUUUGCACAGAAUUCACUUUUGCCACCCAGAACAAUUUUUCCAGGCUGCCUGGUGACAGUUGAGUUACACCUCCAUCAGCAGAUUGGUUAAUCUCAGCAUGUACAGUGUUUCCUGGAAGAUUCCAGGCACCAUGAACCCUGCAAAUCAAUGGUCAUGGUGCUUGGGUUAAAUAUCAUGAAAAUCAGUGAUGUUACAGGAUUUUAAGAAAAGACCAAGCAAUGAGAUUGAUGUAAUAGUAUUAAUACAGGUCUCUCUUCAUCUUUAAUGGUUUCAAAUCAACAAAUGAAUAACAUUAGUAGACAUUUGUAGAUAUGAAAACAGGGUCCAUAUGGUUUCUUAAUUCUAAAUAGACGUGUAAUUUGUGAAAAAGAUUAUCUUCAAACUUGUCAUUUACUAGUUUAUACUCCAUACCCCAAUCCAUGAUCUUAAUCCAAAGCAUGAUUACAAGACAUAAAAUUUAUCUCUGCCCUCAAAACUCCCACUACUCAUGGGUGGCAGCAAUGGCUAUAGAAUUCAUCAGCCCAAAUUCAUAGAACAAAAGCAAAAAUGUUACCUGCACACCAUCCCAAAUCCCUAUCUAAAUUUAAAUAAGAGGAUUUUGUAGUACAAUUUCAAUGGCUGUUAAAGUGUAGGUUCACCUGACCCAUGAUGGCAAACCUCAUAACUGAGUGAGUCUCAUUAGAGAUUUUCCCUUUUCUCAUAAAAGUGAAUUGUUAGUGUAGGACUCCUCUACAAGGUGUCCCUUGACAGGGCUGAUGAGCUUACACUUUAAAGGACCACUAUAGGCACCCAGACCACUUCAGCUUAAUGAAGUGGUCUGGGUGCCAGGUCCAGCUAGGUUUAACCCUUUUUUCUAUAAACAUAGCAGUUUCAGAGAAACUGCUAUGUUUUUAUAUUAGGGUUAAUCCAGCCUCUAGUGGCUGUCUCAUUGACAGCUGCUAGAGGCACUUCCGCGCUUCUAACUGUGAUUUUCACAGUGAGAAGACGCCAGCGUCCAUAGGAAAGCAUUGAUUAAUGCUUUCCUAUGAGACUGGCUGAAUGCGCGUGCGGCUCUUGCCGCGCAUGCACAUUCAGCCGGUGAUGUCAGAAGAGGGAGCCCGGCGCUGGAAAAAAGGUAAGGGAUUAACCCCUUCCUCCCCCUUCAGCGCCACGGGAGUAUGUUUUCCUGGCUCUAUAGUGGUCCUUUAAUGGUCAUUAGAGUGGUACUAAAAACCUCCUGUUAUUUAAAAUGCAUAUGGCUUAAGGUUAGUGGGUACUGUAUAGGUAACUUUUUGUUCUAUAUAAGUGGGCUGAUGUAUAUUGUAGCCAUUGCUGCUCCCCAAGAGUAGUGAAGGAUUGAGCUAAUUGCUUAAUUGUAUGUGUUUGUUUCUGUAUUACACAGAGAUGUUACAGUGCUGCCGCCCACCACAUAAAUUCCCUAUUAGGGAUUAAUAAGGGUGUAAGACAGAAGAAGACAACCUUCGGCACUCCUGAUUUUGUGGACUAUAUCUCCAAUAAUGUUGGCAAAGCAUCAAGGGAGGUGUAGUCCACAGCAUCUUGAGUGGUAAAGGUUGCUUACUCCGGGUGUACUGGUACAUAGGAAUUCCCCUUCCUGUCUAUUUCCAUAAAGCAGAACGGUGAAUUGUGAGUGUAGGACUCAUCUAAGAGGUUUUUCUAGAUAGGGCAGGUGAGCUUACAAUUUCAUGGUCAUUGGAGUGGUACGAAAAACAUUCUGCUGUGUACCUGCCCAUAGGGAUUUGGGAUAGUGCGCAGGUAACUCUUUUUGUUUUCAUUUUAUAUUCUAGAAACAUUGAACCUAAUAAUAUUUCAUCCAUUUUCACUGCACCUUGGGGGGAAUAGAAAUUUAUUAGGAAAAUACUUUAGGAAAAUAAAUAUAAAGAAAAAUAAACAAGUGUAGUACCGUUCUAGACAACACAGUGAGGGGGAUUCCCUUAGAGAGAAUUAAAGCUUUUAAUCACGGCAGGAUGUUGAUUAGCGCAUAGAAUCCUGAGCAUAAAGGUAAUUUUAAUCAGACACCAAAAGGACUUCAAAAGCAUCACUAAUAAAGCCCCCCAAAGGGCACUUGAAAAAUACUAAUGUAUCAAAUAAAGUAAAUAGCUGGUUGGUUGCUUUCCCAUAUUGAAUUAGAACAUAUCUGUGCAUGUUUAUUUUAAAUUGUUUCUUUACCUGUUUGACAAUGUUUCACAUUAUUUUGGCAAUUAAAUUGUUAGAGGGAUGUAUUCAAUAUAAAGUCAGUUUUCAAUGAGUUUUGGAAACUUUGUUUAAAAAGUCUGCAGAAUGUGGCUAAAAAUUGCACUUUGCAAUCAGCUCAAAGUUCAUGUAUUACUGAAAAGCCUAAAAGGCAAAGUAUUUUUUAAAUAAAUGUUGAAGUUGAAAAGAUACAAAAUAUAAAUAAACUAACACCUGAGUAAUAGCUCCUGUGUAUUACCUUAAAGGGACACUCCAGGCACCCAGACCACUUCUGACCAUUGGAGUGGUCUGGGUGCCAACUCCCACCACCCUUAACCCUGCAAGUGUAUUUAUUGCAGUUUACAUAAACUGCAAUAAAUACCUUACAGGGUUAAGUCCUCCUCUAGUGGCUGUCUAUCAAAAGUGUUUUAAACGAAAAGUGUUUUAAACGACACUGGACGUCCUCACGCUAUGCAUGAGGACAUCCAGCGUCGCCGGAAUCCCUAUAGGAAAGCAUUGGAUAAUGCUUUCCUAUGGGGAGGUCUAAAGCGCGUGCGCGGCCAUUGCCACACAUGCGCAUUAUGUCUCCCCUGCCGGUGGGGGAGGAGCAUGGGCGAAGCCUGACCCAGCACCGCGAGACAUCGGUGCUGCAUUCAGGUAAUUCACUGAAGGGGUUUUAACCCCUUCAGCAAAAUGGGAUGGGGGUGGGAGGGAGAGGGGCACUGCAUGGUCCUGCAGUGCCAGGAAAACGGAUAUGUUUUCCUGGCACUGGAGAGUCCCUUUAAACAUUAACAAACUCACUCAUACAGCUAAAGGAGCUAUUUAGUGUUAGGUAUGCAAAGAAAUAUAGAUAUAUUUUUAACACUGACAUGUUUCUUGCCCCACCGCCGCUGGCAUUGUAAAGCAUUACAUAACCAUUUAUUUACUUACCCGAUUCCAGCGAUGAUGUUCUGAUACCAGGAGAUGGAAUGUGAUGCCACCCCAGCUACAGCAUUAGUAUGGAGAGGCAGGGAGCUGUGCAUUCCAUGCACAACGAGAUUCCAGUCGUUAUAGUGCAUAAUGAACCCAUACUAAUUGGUUAUACUGGUGCAGAGGCAACAAACUUUAACAAAAGAGAAAUCCAAACAGAAGCAGAAAAAGCGUCACUGAUUACAUUUGUCACUGUUGCAACGACUGAGAUUUUAGCUGUUGUUGUUUGAAUAAGCCCCAUGGUACCUUUUUUACUCUGAUUUGUUAGCUAUAGAUUUGGCACUUGCCACCUCUCAAUAUGUUUGUGUGUAUAUUUAUUUAUAUAUUUAGAAGGGAGAAAAGAGAGCUAAUACAUUUGAAUCUUUAGGAAAUUAACAGAAUAAACAUUGGGUAUAACCCAAGCGAAAUGUAACAAUUACUACCAUAACAAACAAACUGUUAAUUAACUAAAGAACAUCGAGUAUAGAAAAGAAAAAACUUAUAAGGAUUCAUUCUUACCUAUGCUAUCUAUCCAACACAUGUAGCAUUGGGAUUAAGUUACCAUUACUUUAUUACUUUCUUGCUAUUUGUAACUUGAUAGGCUAGUACUUCUAUAAGCUACUGAUUAUACAUUUCUGUUGCUAUUUAAUAUAUAUAUAUAUUUAUAUAAAUAUAAUAUCAUUUUAUAUAUAUCUAUUGUCUAUUAGUUUUAUAUUUCGACUGUCAUGUUGAUUUUAGUUUGAUAUACAUUGAAAGCUAAGUGUUAUCUAUUAUAUACAUUUAUAUAUUUAUUUCGUUUUUUAAGUGGUAUGAUUUAGUGGAGGAAAUUGUGAGUGUCUCCCGCAUUUUGAUUGUGGUGUCUUAUAUUCCUAAAUUGUUCUCAGAUUCACCACUGACCACACAUAACACUUUGCCCCUCAGUCCUUAGAGCAGUAGCAUGUUUAACUGUCUCCAGAAAAAAACAAACCAAAAAACACUGCAGUCAAUAGGGUGUAAUUUGGUGGGAAUUAGAGUAUGAGGUGUUUUACAUACUCCUACAUAAUACGGCUUAUGAUUCAAAGCAACAUUAAUUCAUUUUGCAUUGUACAAGACACAUUAUUUUUUGCAUUUCUUGUGAAAAUUUAUCUUCUUUUUCUCCAUGUGUGUUUUUUAUUAUUACGCUCUAAACAUUAAUUCUUCUUAUUAAUUUUUAUUUUGAGGGGAGAAUAUUACAACAAGCUGAUGAUUUUAAUCAAGUAUCAUGGUAUGUUUUGGUCAAUUUUACAUGACAGAGUUGUUUUGUUUUUGUAGAAAGAGAUUAAGAAAGAUGUCAUUGACCCAUAUAUUUAUAGGAAUCAGCCUUAAUCUAUAUAUAAAGAAUCGAUCUCCAAUUUUACCACUGGAAGAGUCUUCGUUACUUCUUGGCUUGUGAGGCUAUUUUUGGACCAUCCGAUAUUACCUUGCUGAGUUGAAGUAUUUGGUGCCAUUAGGAGCACUCAGAUGUGUAUUACAAAAUAAUAUGAGCAUCAUUCAGAGUGAUUAUAGCAGUGAUUAUAGUCUUUAUCCCACACCAUGAGUCGAGACUACAUGCAGGGGCUACCAAAAUGCAAAAGAGGUUCAGGCACUCCAACAGCUUCAGGCAAAUAUAUUAGAACUGAAGGUACCGUGCAAUGUUUCGACCCACAAAUGGGUCUUUGUCAAGUAUACAUACAGGGGUUAAACAGAGCGGACUGUAUUGCUGCUGUGCAAAGGUAUUUAUACCCAAAAAGGGAAUUUGCACACAACAGGGUAAGUAACAGUACAUACAGUGCCAUAUCAAGUCCUCUUCCCAUAACACAAUGUUUUUCUUGCUGAAAACAACCCUUAGGGCCACAAACAAAUACUCACCUCCAUUUUGUCCCUAUAAUUUAAACAACCUAAAAAAAUGAAUGCACCUUGUAAAAUUACCACCCAAGCAGGAGGAAAGCCUAACCUGCAACCCUGGGUCCAUGACGGCCAGAAACCGUGAAAACCUUUCUUCUAGACUUCAAAAUCGCAGUCAAAUAUCUCCUUGGAUCAACAAGCUCUUACCCCACAUAUUAAUUACUAUAUAUAUCCUUGUGUAUUGAGUUUACUAUUUUUUCAAGCAUCCUGACAUUGUUCUGAUGAAUCUGCCAGAAUGUGAUAAAACAACCUCUUUAGACAGAGAAUUCACCAACUUUAUUGUUCAUACUAUAACAAACUCCCACUGUAGUAGAAAUCUCCUAUUCAAGUCUAAUUAGGUGACCACUUCUUUAUACAGUCCUAUUAAUGGUUACCUAUUGUUCAACUAGUGUAGUGGAAAGAAAAGUAUUUUUUUGCGCAGAACAGUAUCAUAUGUCUUAGCAAAUCACAUCCAUACAUACUACAGCACCUUUUAUACUUCUACCAACUUCUUUAUAAAAUGCAAACAAAUUGGCUUAAUGCGAUCUAUUUUUCAAAAUGUUGAUUACUACUAAUGAAAUGGUUGUUCACAAUUAGGUCAUGAAUAUUAACCCUUAAUAACUCUUCAAUUAAUCUCUCAAAUCACAUGUAAAUUUCACUUGUCUGUGAAGGUGCACUUUCUUUUUUGACUUUUUUUUUUUGGUAAAAUGUUUAUUGAAUAAUUUCAGUGUUAAAGUACACGCAAUACAGAUAUGAAGCAUUAGACUCACUUCUUAAAUAACUUGAGAAUUCUCCAAAUAGCAGUUAUAAAAAAAAAAAGUAGAAGAAAGAGAUUUAUAACAUGGUACCCAGUAUAACUAUUUAAGUGAUUCUUAACUUUUUAUAAAUAGUUAGACCGUUAACAACUUUUCUUUGGGCUGGUCUUGCUCUCUCUGGCUAUUGAUGAUGUAUUUUCUAGUUUAGCCGAUCUAACUGGUAUCUUUUAAGCCUUGUUGGCAUCCUUAUAUUUUAUAUACAGUGCUUCUGUCCCAUCUAACUUAAAUGCUUCCAAAUGCAAUUUUUUUAUUUUUUAUUACCUAAUGAUAUAUGCUGUGAAAUGUGCUUUUCCAUGUUUUCUCAGAGAAAAAUUCCCGACAGCCUAUUAGUUAUAAAAUUGCCUUAAUCUAUUGAAAUUGACCUUUUUUCUCAAAAUGAGAUGUUUUAGUGAACCAAAUAUAAAGUUGCAUCACACCAUAUUGUGGUCACUUUUACUGAAAUAGUUUACCCAGAUGUGCAGCUUUUUCAGUUUAUUCUAACAGCUAAGCUUUCCCAUCAUUAUCAAUAGUUCAGGGUUUAGAACAUAUUACUACAAAUAAUGUAUUGUCUUCUUAUCUGCUCAUAUUUACAUCCAUAUCACCAUCCUUGAAGCAUUUGAAUGUUUUUCUUUAAUCUGGACAUACGAGUGUCUUUCUUUAACUGGGAUUUAUGUUUACAUCUAUAUCAUUACGCACCAUACAAGGUUUUAAUUUAGGUUUGAUAUGUAAAAAUACCCCUCCCCCCCUUCUCAGUCCUUCCUAAACAAUUCAUACCCAUUUAAAUUAACUGCCUUGUAAUCCAUUUUAUCCUACUAUGUUUCAAUAAAACAUUUUAUGGUAUACUGUUUAUCAUAUGCCAAUGACUCAAGUCCCCAUUUUAUUACUCAGACUCCUUAAAUUAACAAGCAGACAUUUAAUGUUACCAUCAGCCUCUAGCACUGAGUUUAAUUUGUUUUUUUUAUCAUAUAUGUCCUCGGUGAUGAUCUCAAUUCUCUCCUGUUUUCCAACCGACCGAUUUUAUGUAACUGUAUGACCUUUAUAUUGUAUCUAAAAUUUGCACAUUCUAUGUCUCUUCCCCAAUUCCUGGUUUAAAGUCUUCUCCAACCACCUAGCCAUCUAUGUCCCCAGCAUAGUCGAGUGUCUUCCAUUCAGAUGUAAUCCAUCACAGCUAUAAAGAUUGUACCCAAGUGCAAAAUAAUCUCAAUGCUCUAAAAUCCCCAGGCCCUCCUUCCUACACUAGGACAUCGGUCAUACAUUCAACUUCGUAAUCCCCUGUUGCCUCUCCACUCCAUCUUCCACUGACUUUCCCAUUAAUACCAAUAUGAACCAUAGCUGGUUCAUCUGUAUUUAGUGAAAAACCCCAACAACAUGAGACGUUGGGAAUUCAAAGUGAUAUUCAAAUUCACUUGAAGAAACUUUCCACUUUGGUUAUUUUGGCCAUAAAUGUAAUAUUCAGUUGAAUUUACUUUAAAUUCUCCACAAUUCACAGUUUAGUGCAUAAUUCUAUGGAAUGUUUCAGAUGGCACAAUAAGGGUGUGCAUUGUAAAAAUAAUGCUUGCUUUACCCAUUGUUACAUUUUGACCCAUUGCCUAUAAUAUGUAUAGAAUAUAGAUGUUUUACCCUUCUUUAAUUUAGCACAUCUCACAAGGUACAACCUUGAUUUGUGUGAAUAAAUACAAUUUAAACCAUGAUGUUCCCUGCACCUAUAUCGUAUGUAUGUUAAAGAACCAAUCAAGUCACCUAGGCCACUGUCACAAUCCCUGUCCCUCGCUGUGUGAUCAUGGAAGUGAUGUCUCUUCUGUGUCCUGAUGCACACCUACUCAUCCCUAGCUUCCUGGUGUCUCAUUAUGACAUCAUAUAUGUCAUGGAACCCUUCAUUGGCCCCCUUUUAUAAUGUCAGUCUUUGUGGUGUUUUUUAAUGUUGUGUAAACACUUGCAACAUUAUGGCCAUCUGUAACCAAUCACAACCCAGUACAGGGUACAUGUAUCCUUACUGGUUGUCCUUGUUUCCUUGCCUUGUCGUGGUUUCUGUUUACCAGCGUGUGCAUUAUAUAUUACUUAUUAUUCCAUUUUAUGACCUUAACUUGUUUGACCAUUCUUAAUCUCUGUAACCCUCACCUUGUCUCGUUUCUCUUUUCUGUGUACCUCUGUAAUGCCUGACCUUGGCUUGUUAAAGUUUAUUCUGUAUCUGUUGCAGACUUUCUGACUAUAAGUUUAGUGUUACCCCGAGCACUCUAAGGACACAUAUCUUCCUUAGAGUUAGGGUCAGGCCAAUCCUGACAGCCACUUCAUCUCAAUGCAGUGGCCAGGUUGCAGUGGUCCUGUCCUUGUAACCAUGCACUAUAAAACAUAGCAGUUUUUUAAGAAACACUACAUUGCAGGUUUAAAUCCUCUUCCGGUGGCUGUCAUGCUGAGAGCCAUUAGUGGUACAUUUGCAGCACAAACUAAAUUAAACCCGUUCCCGUCACGUGGAAACAUCAAUAGUGAAGCAAUGACUCAAUGCUUGUCUAUGGGUAAACAGCAGCACAUGCCCACAUGAGGAGCACAGGAUUGGACACUGGCGGGGGAGGCCAUGCCUGCUCUGUGACAUCAUGGGAGGCGGAGAUUUUCAAAGUUAGCUAUUUUUAUUAUUUUAUAUGACAAAGAGAAGAGAGCUGUUUUUAAAUAGGGCCAAAGAUACUAAAGUGUUAAGAAUACAUGUAUUUAUUUCGGUUUUAGUGUUCCUUUAAUAUAGCAGAUACUGGAAUAAUUCCAGACAUAUCUGGGCAGAAUUUUAUGACUACAGAUCUAUGCAGCUCUGCUAUUUGUAUAACCAUUGCGAAAUAGAGUUCAGGAAAUGAGCUGGAGAUAAAAUCUCAAAUCCCAGCCAUUUAUAAAAUGUUUACACUGCUAACCAGGACAUGGAAUCCGCCCAUGAGUCUAAUCCACUCUCUAUCCAGCGCUCUGUGUUUCAGUACCAAGGACAGCAGCACCUCUACCCCACCCCCUCCUGCCUUUAACUAGUUAGAAAUCAUAGCCACGCCUCCCAGCACACCCCUGCCUCCUCGACUUCACGCAGAACGUUCGGCUUUGUGACGUCACAGAACCUGCGAACACAACGUUCUACUGGGUCCAUGGUUACAUUAGCGCGAGACUCAGGUAAAGCUUUUACACUGCAGUGCUGUCCCUAAUACAGCCCAUACAUAAUGGGUCAGCUGGAGGAACAGAGGGCUUAUCAGCUGUGUCCUCACACAUACAUGUCGGGGUACAUGCCUGGGUACAUACCUGGGUACAUACCUGGGUACAUGUCUGGGUACAUGCCUGGGUACAUGCCUGGGUGCAUGCCUCUGUACAUGCCUGGGUGCAUGGCUCUGUGCAUGCCUGGGUGCAUGGCUCUGUGCAUGCCUGGGUGCAUGGCUCUGUGCAUGCCUGGGUGCAUGGCUCUGUGCAUGCCUGGGUGCAUGGCUCUGUACAUGCCUGGGUGCAUGCCUCUGUGCAUGCCUGGGUGCAUGGCUCUGUGCAUGGCUCUGUGCAUGCCUGGGUGCAUGGCUCUGUGCAUGCCUGGGUGCAUGGCUCUGUGCAUGCCUGGGUGCAUGGCUCUGUGCAUGUCUGGGUAUUCCUGGUCAGAGUAAGGACAGGUCAUAUUCACAGACAUGCAAGUUGUGCUGUUAGCAGCUCGCAGAUUACACGGGGUCCUGUGUUGCUGUGUUAUCCUGGGGGUUUUGGACUCAGCUGGGAGCCAAGAAUUAGAAGCAGCAAUUUGAUCUGCUUUACCUUGUGCUCUCCAACAUGUUUUUAAAGCAACCCCCUGCUUGAUUUAUAUCCUGGUGGUGGGUGGAUUAAUCUGCAAAGGUGCAAGGCAGAGCUUCACUCAUAUAAACAAGGGUAUCUGAUAACAUGUAUCUUCUCUAUACACUUGGUGAGGCAGGUUACAUGGAUUAUUAAUGUGGCUAGCACAUAUACAUUUACAUAUACACAUGGGCAUUUCUACAUAUACAAGUAUAAACUUACAAGUUCUAUAUAAGGAGCAGUAUCAUUUAGAAACAGAUGCGAUUGUGUAUUUAACAUCAGUUACUUUUAUUUCUCACUUUUCAUAUAGCUGGUAUAAUUAAACUGAGAGCCCUGGAGAUGUUAACCUCUGAUUUUGGGUACACCGUACAGACAGUCCUUUAAUGCCCUGAGUAAUUUGUAUGAUUAAUAAUAAUAUAAUUAAGUGAGUUACUCCAUGCAUCAUAGCCACUGCUGCCUGCUGGAGUACCCUGGCUCCAUUCUCUGGUAUUGGGGUAUAUUGUUCUACAAGAGUUUAUCCUCUAGUUCCGCACGGCGCGGAGGGUCCUAUCCUGCUGGUUGAACGACAUGUGGGUUCUGUAGAACUGCUAGAUGCCAAUCUCAGUGGCCAUUUAUUGGUUGAGAGUGUCAGCUGAUCAUUUUCAGCCAAUGAAUGCCCCUCUGUGCAUAGAAAUAUUCGCAGCACAGACUUGGCAUCAACCAGCCCAGAACUCUUUUUUUCGGCGCUUGUUAACGCACCAGUGACUCAGCAGGAGGUGCAAUGUAUGAGCAGUGUUUCAUCACGACUUAUGCACAUACAGACUUCAAGCACCAUGCCCACUUUAAAUCACUGUAUUAGUACUCCAUACUAAUUCUUCUCGACCUCUCUGUUGCCUUUGACACCGUUGAUCAUGCUCUCCUUCUUCAAACGCUUCAGUAACUCGGUCUCUGUGACUUUGUCCUCUCGUGUUUUUCCUCUUAUCUCUCCCAACACUCAUUCAGUGUCUUCUUUUCUAAUGAUACCUCCUUCCUUCAUCCUGUUUCGGUUGGAGUCCCCCAGGGCUAUGUCAUUGGCCCCCUUCUAUAUUCUCUUUAUACUGCCUCUCUUGGCAAACUAAUUACCCCAUUUGGAUUCCACUACCACCUGUACGCUGAUGACAGCCAUAUAUAUCUCUCCUCUCCGGACCUCUACCCUGUCGUCCUGCAACGUGUCACUGCUUGCCUUUCUUCCAUCUCUGACUGGAUGUCCUCCCACUUUCUGAAACUAAAUCUCUCUAAAACUGAACUCCUUGUCUUUUACCCUCCUAACACUGAUCCUCCUCUUUCGCUCUCCCUUCAAGUUAGUGGUUUUCACAUAAUUCUAUCCUUGCAAGCGUGCUGUCUUGGCAUCAUACUUGAUUCUGGCCUCACCUUUAACCCCUUAAGGACACAUGACAUGUGUGACAUGUCAUGAUUCCCUUUUAUUCCAGAAGUUUGGUCCUUAAGGGGUUAAGCCUCACAUACAGUAUAUUUUGAAAUCAUGUAGAGUCCAUCAAAACAUAGCCCGCAUCUGCCCCUUUCUUACACAAGAUGCUAUCAAGGAGCUUGUCCAUGCUCUAGUAAUUUCCUGCAUGGAUUAUUGUAACCCUCUCCUAAUUGGUCUUCCCAAAAACUCCGCUACAGUCUGUAAUGAAUGCUGCCGCCAGACUGAUUUUCCUCUCUAGUCGGUUCUCUCACACCUCUCCCCUCUGCCAGUCCUUACAUUGGCUUCCUGUAUCCUUUGGGAGUCAAUUCAAGGUACUAAUUAACACCUAUAAAGCACUGAACAAUUCUAGCUCCUCUUAUAUCUCUUCACAGAUCCAUAGGUAUGCCCCUUCUUGGUCUCUCCGCUCUGCCUGUGACCUUCUCCUGUCCGUUGUUCGCACCCGUACGGCCAACUCACGUUUGCAGGACUUCUUGCGGGCAGCUGCCUUCCUUUGGAAUAGCCUGCCUACUGCUAUCAGAUUCUCCCCUAGUCUUGCAUCUUUUAAGAAGAGCCUUAAAACCCAUCUCUUUAGGAAAGCUUAUGGCCUCCCAGAGUAACCUCUACCUUACAUAACUGUCUCUUGCUCUCUCUUUUUUAAAGGGCACCACUCCACUCUCUCCUCCAGCUCAGCUUCACUCCCACCUUAUUUAAUUUAUAUUUCCUGUCCUAUUGUGUUUUAUACCCCACCUCCUAUAGACUGUAAGCUCGUUUGAGCAGGGUCCUCUUCAACCUAUUGUUCCUGUAAGUUUUCUUGUAAUUGUCCUAUUUAUAGUUAAACCCCCCUCUCAUAAUAUUGUAAAGCGCUACGGAAUCUGUUGGAGCUAUAUAAAUGAUGAUAAUAAUAAUAAUAGUGCUUGGAGUAACUCUUUACGGGAUCACACUAAGGUUAAGAAUAUAUUGUUUCUAGCCUUAUGCUAGGCUGCAAAUUGAGGACCUACUUCCCCUUCCAGUCCUUGCAGCAGCCAAACACCUCAUUCUGAGAUCAUAAUGAUGGAUGCUUUAUCCACGCAUUGGGGACCUAUAGCAUAUGUGCAGCAAUGGCUGCAUUCCACCAGUCCUAUGCAUCUCACAGAGGAGCAGGGAAUCCAUUGUUGCUGUAUUAUAAUUAUUAUUAUUACUGGUAUUUAUAUAGCACCAGCAUAUUCUGAAGCGCUUUACAAUAUAAUGAGAAACAUUGACAGGGUUCAGUAUUGUAAUGCUGUGCAUGAUGAGGCCAAAUAUGAAGUUCUUUAUGAGUAAGUGUCCCAAGUGGCUUUCAGUCAGUGUGCUGUUUGGCAAACAUAAACAGUGCUGUUUCUCUUAAAUGACAAUGUUGUGUUUUUUACUUUUUUUUUUUUUUAAUGCAAAAGAAGAGGGAAAGCAUUUAUGCCCCAUAACCACUGCAUUAAGAUGUAGUGGUUUUCAUUAUUAAAAUGUCCCUUUAACCCAUUAAAAACCAAUAAUGGUUUAUGUGGUCACAGCAACAGCUGCAAUCAGAACAUCAGAGAUUAAUACUCCUGGUGCAUUAACAGAGAUUAAUUCAACUAUAUCAUCUAACCUUCUGAUAUAUAUAUUUCUAUAUAUAUCUUUUUAUAUUAAACACUGAAAACACAUAAAGCACUUCAGCUUGCUUUGUGACUGGAGUCUGUCAUUUUUAAAAAUAAUUUUAUAAAAGUUACGAUUUCAGUAGAAAUUGGUACUUUUAUUACUGGGUUCAAAAGGUCUUUCCUGUCCCCACUUCUCAUUGAGCUGUACUGGGAAGCCAUGUAAAGCCACAUUUGCGUGCAUGUUGAUGGCUACAACACAGAAGCUUCUCAACAAGAAGGGGGAGGAGGGCUUGCAAUAGCUGCAGAUAGCAAUCUGCAGUUUUCAAGAAUUGCGCUUUCCUAUACCCCUCAAAAAACAUGCAGAACAAAAUACAUACAUGUCUUCUUUGGGGUAAAAGUUUAUAUUUGCUGUGGAGGUGUUCGUUUAACAUUGUAGACAGCACUCUUUUUUAUUUUUAUUUUUUUUAUUGUUUUAUUUUUAUAGUUUAAUUCAUAUAAUGUAUUUAAACAUUAAGGGCUACUCCAACCACCAUGAUCACUUAUGCAUUUGGUCAUGGCGGUCAUAGCUGAAAAGAGACAACAAGUUCAGCUUUUCUCACUUUUGUUUUUGCUGUUGAUUUAACCCCUUAAGGACACAUGACGGAAAUAUUCCAUCAUGAUUCCCUUUGAUUCCAGAAGUUGUGUCCUUAAGGGGUUAAAAGAAGGUUAAAAAACCCAGCCUCAAGUGCUUCCAAAUUUGCCACUAACUAGGAAAAAAUUCCUUCUUGACCCCAGAAUGGCAGUCAGAUCUCUCCUUGGAUCAAUCCGCUAUUACUCAACAAUUUAAAAAUGAUAUCCCUGUGUAUUACGUUUUUGCAAGUAUUUUUCCAAUUGCUGUUUAAACAUCUGCAUAGAACUACCUCUUCAGGCAGAGAAGUCUGCACCCUUAUUGUUCUUACUGUAAACCCCGAUGCCACCUUCCCCCCCAAAAAAACAGACAAUGGUUUGUAUUGACCCCGAAUGUAUUUUUUCAUAUAAAAUUGUUCAUUCUUUUGUAGCCACCCUCUGCACUUUUUCUAGUGCCAUAAUAUUCUUCUUUAGAACAUGUGCUCACAAUUGCAUAGCAUAUUCAAGGUGUGGUCUUGAAUAUAUGAUUUAGUGAUUUAUAAAGAGACAAUUAUAUUUUCAUCCUUAUAAUUAAUGCCCCUUUUUAUACAUGACAAAACCCUACUGGCCUUAGCAACUGCCGAUUGAUAUUGCACAUUGUUGCCUAGUGUGUUGUCAAAAACAAUUCCCAAAUCCUUCUCGUGUAUUGUUAUCCAUAUGGUGUAAGUUGCUUGUGCAUUCUUGAAGUGCAUAACUUUGCAUUUAAUCAACAUUAAAGUUCAUCUGCCAUUUAAGUGCCCAGUUUCCCAAUCUAUCUAAAUCACUCUGCAGCAAAGCAAUAACCUGCUCACACUUUUUUAUUUUACAGAAUUUUGUGUCAUCUGCAAACACUGAAACAUGGCUUUCAAUGCCUAUUUCAAGAUAAUUUCUAAAUAAAUUAAAUAGAAGCGGUCCCAGAACAGAACCCUGAGGGACAACACUUACACUUUUGUCCAGCUUGAACGUUUACCACUAAUAACAACUCUCUGUACUCUAACUUUAGCCAAUGUUCUACCCAUGAACAAGAAUUGUCAUCUAGACCAAGUUCUUUUAGUUGGAGCACUAACCUAUUCGGAGGAACGUUAUCAAAGGCCUUGGCAAAAUCCCAGUAUAUCAAAUUCUCGGAUACUCCCUGAACUAUACAUCUACUCACUUCUUUGUAUAAUGCAAUUAGGUUAGUUUGACAUGACCUAUGUUUCAUAAAACCAUGCCGACUAUUGCUAAUAACAAUAUUCCUCUCAAUUAAUUCCUAAAUAUUAUCCCUUAAUAACCCUUCAAAUACUUUCUCAGCCACAUAAGUUAAGUUCACAGGUCUGUAAUUUCCAGGCAAAUAUUUUAACCCUCUUUGAAUAUAGGAACCACAUCUAUCUUCCCCCAAUCCUCUUGUGUGAUUAAUGAAAGAAAAUAAUCUUAAAAGAUUAAAACCAGAGAUUCACUUAUAUCCACACUUGGCUCCUUAAGUACUCAUGGGUGAAUACUGUCAGGCCCCUGGAGCUUUGUUUACAUUAACUUUCUUUUGCGGCUAUAUCACAUUGUCUUGAGUCAGCCAAUCACAAAUUUUCUGCAAGUUUUUUUUGUAGCAAUAUUUACAUAUCUCUUGCCAUAGGAUCCUCCUUAAUAUUUAUUGAGAACAAAUAGUUUAUUAAAAUUUUCUGUCUCUUCACUUUCACUUUAUUUUUGUUUUUUAGAAUGUACUUAAAAAAAAAUAUUUGGGGGAGGGCCUUGGCUGGUUGUGUAACGGCAUAUACCUGUUCUUGCAGAGCUCUGUCCUAACUUAAUCAGAAGCACCCAGUGACAUUGUAGCAGGUAUGUCGCAUUGCGCUCUGUCAUCAAAUCCUGCCCCAGAGAGUUUGGAAAUAUCCACUUCGAGGGCUGCACGAUGGCAAUCUAUGGGGACCUCCUUGUUGUAUUGCUAGAGAGAAGGCAGCAGGCUACUACGAGGGGCCACGAUCAAGUACCGCCAGGGGGUCGUUUGCUCUUUUUCCAGUCUCUGUGUGAGGGUGCUGUGUGUGUAAGGGAGCUGUGUGUGUGUAUGUGUGAGGGUGCUGUGUGUAAGGGUGCUGUGUGUGUGAGGUUCCUGUGUGGGGGGUGCUGUGAGGGUGCUGUGUGUGUGUGUAAGGGUGCUGUGUAUAUGUGUGAGGGUGCUGUGUGUGGGGGGUGCUGUAUGUGGGUGCUGUAUGUUUGUGUGAUUGUGUGUAUUGUGUGGGGGCCGUUUAGUAAAUAUCCCCCCCUCCCUUCCUACCUUAUGCCAGGGAGGGGGGAUCCUUUCUGCUGCUUCCAUCCCUGGUGGUCCAGUGGAGAGUUAACGCUAGCCUGGGGGGCUAGAGUUCACUCUCGUGAGAUCUGAGCGUUGCCAUGGCAAUGCUCAGAAUCCCGCGAGAGGAACCCGACGGAGCUACUGGCAAGAGCUCCCCGGGUCCUCUCCUGACUCCCUCCCUGCCUGUGGGUCGGUGGGGAAGGAGGUUGUGGUAUUGUAACACCUUUUGUAUACUUUCAUACACUAAUCUAGUUGUAUUUUGGAUACAUAAAAGCCAAUAAAAUACAAACUGGAACAAAAAAAUGUUUUGGGGUUGGUUUUACUCACUUUGGCUACCAAUUAUAAUUUUCCAAUUCAACCACUCUAUCUGUCAUGGUGGUAGGAUUCUGGAUGUGGAUUGUCUCAGUUUGAAACACUGCACCUUAAGAGAGAUUUUCAAUUUUAUGCUGGGGUUUAUUUGCACCCCAGCACACGUGACUUUGGAAGCCCAAAAUGUUGCCGACAGCACUGUGGGUGCUCCCUUCCACCUCCUUUUGUUAAAUAAAUGGGAGCAAUCUUCCCUCCCGCCUCUUUCCCUUUCCCCACCUUCUCUAUGAGAAACCUGUGAUUGAACCAUGGUGAUGUUAUGACAGAGCCGCAAAAUUAAUUUCCAGUAGGGCAGGGUUCAGCAACCUAUAUGUGCCAUGAAUGACAUUCUUUGCACUGAAGUCAAGACUGCCAGAGCCAAACAAGUCUUUACUACACACUGAGUGGUGAGGAGCAAUCCUCAAUUUACGCAUUGCAGCACUUAGAGAAAGUAAUCUCAGAUCACUUCAUCCCAACACUUGUGAACAGGAAUUCACACUGGAGUAGAGCAAAUUGUACCUGGCCAGCCCGGUUCCCACUGGACCCUAGAGAGCCUUCACUCAUACAAUUACAUCGUAAUAGAAACAACCUAGACACUAACACAGUCCCCACAACCACAACACCACUGACAAUGCACAUACAUGCACACAACCCCCCAAGCAGCUCCACACAUACACACAAUGUGACAUAUCAUCCACACAUAAUUCCAUAGACAGUCCACAUUCAUAUGUAUCAUACACAGUACCACAAACUACUCAUGAAUGUAUGCCGUACAAUAUAACAGCCCACAUAUGCACAACUACAACGCUACAAAGCAAUUUCAGCACCCAUAAACAAGAAUACACACUUCAAUUGAAAAAGAGGAAUGACACGCCAAGAGACUUCAAAAUCUUACUUUGUCACAGUUCUAUUAAAAGGUUGCUGUUCAUUGCCAUAGAGCUUUUAUAAUAUAAAUUGAGCGGGGUUUAAUCGGGGAUGAAGUAACCCUUUAUAGAAAAAGGGAGAGGGAGGGAGGGGGGUAAGCACUCAAAACAGUAGUAUAAGCAGGUGUGUAUAUAUACAGUAACAAGUGAAUUUAAGUUAUGAAAGAAAAAAAUCACUGAGUAAUGGAUGCAAAUCGAUCCUUUUACAGUGUUACCCUCUGAGAGUGGAAAACACAGGUAUAUAUCUACCUAGCCACAAAGAACAAUAGCUGAACACAGAAAAUAAAUAUAAUGAUUGAAGUAGAAAAUGGCUUGAUUUUUAUUUUAUUUUUUUUACUCCGUCAUCAUCCUGUUUCUGAGGUCAGAGUAGCUUUUUUUUGUUGUUGCAAAUAAUAGACAAUCAAUACAUUUCCAAAUAAUGGCCUCGAUUUUAUUAUUUUUGUGUAAGCUCUUCGUGUGAUCACAAUCUGUUAGAAAAACAUUUUAACUGAUUUAUUUACAGAAAUCACUAUUAAAGUCUAGGAGAAUGGACAGGUAUGGGAGGCCACAAAAAUGAGCCUAUAAACAGCUAGGCCGCCUCAGCUAUUGUCUUACCCUCUGUACAUAGUUAUAACAAAUCUGUUGAGUUAAAGAUUACUAAAUCCUGUUUUGUAGUACUGUGUUUUUUUUACCUUUGCCAAAUUCCUACAUAAAUGCUUCUUACUUUGUGUUUCUGUUGGACUCCUCUUUAUGUUAACCCUCUCGGCAACAGAAAAGCUUGUCAGGAACUUUACAGCCAUCUGCCCCAAAUGCCGUAUGUUCUAAGCAUUGUGGGAAACCUUGCAUAUAAAAUGGGGUGGCCAGUCCUAAUCAUAGCUAGUGGCCUCAAUGGAGGAGUCAUAUGAGAUAUUCAGGUUAAUAAUGCUUUUACUCAGGGGAGUUAACAGCUGCCAAAAAUACCAGGAACUUCAGCACAAGUUGUGUGCCCCCAACCCCAUAUGAUAUAUUUCUUUCCUAUUCAAAACCAUGAUUGUUGUUAUAUCAUGAUAUAAUUUGAAAUUGGAUAAACUCGAGGUUCCAUAGAAAUAGUUAUUGGAAGAGCUUCAGUUUGUUUUACUUCUCUCUUAAUAUCACAAACGGUCAUAUAGAUACAAAUAACACCUCCAUUUGCAAGUUUCCAGGAGGCUUGGGGACUAACAAUAAAUGGAGCUAAAUACAACUCCACUCGUGCCCCGGCUGGGGUUGGCCCCUUUCCAGCCGCUAUCAUGUUCUUAAUUUAUAAAAUUAAUGGUGGUCUCUCAAUGCAAUGGACAUAUAAUACCUAUAGAUGUGCAGAGCUAAAUUAUAUUCUGUGGAGUUCACUCAUCUCACACUGCCCUUUUUUUAAGGACAAUCUGUGCUAGGACAGCUAGCUCACAUGUUACUUCCUCAUUAUCGCUGUGUAUAGUUGGUCAGAGGUGAAUUCCAGAAUUCCCUGGGCUUCCGGGUCCCCUUGGCUUAUAAUUAACUAACAGACCAUGUGGUCACCAUGUCCCGAGCCCAAAAUAAUAAUAAUAACACACCUGCCCCCAAAAUACAGAGCCUGCUCUCCUUGGCAACAAAAGCAACCGAGUCUUUCCUAGCCCUAACAUGUGACUGAAUUGCAUGUAAUCCCACUCUAUUAACCCAUCACCUCCUGCAAAUUAGAAAAGUAAGGCAGGGACGGGUUUGCUUAAUCAGAUUUAUUUUUAAAUUCGAAACUGUUGUUACAUUAUUAUCCUUUUUUUUAAAUUAAUGUGGUUAUUUUUAACUUGGUCCAAAAAAGCAAAAACUUCAUAUUUUGACACAAAAAUCUUGCUUGUAAAUGAUGAGCACCAUUGGUUGUGAGAUUUUGAUUGAAACACAUGAUGGAUACCGCUGGAUAAAAUGCUAUUAAGUAUCGGUAAUGUGAGCUGUCACUCCCUGUCUGGAGACACCUGGAUCAGAUGAAGCGAAUGUCACAAAUCAGAUUGACGCAGUGACUUGGAAAAUGGGGGAGAAAGAUGUAUAUCAGAUUUCAAAAUCACAUAAAAUAAAUCUUAUUCCAGGUCUAUUUCAACAAUAAAAAUAAGUUUCAAUUAAAAUUCACAGAGUGAACCUGAAUAUUUAUUUUUUAUUUUUUUCCGUACCAACCUGUACAGACUCUCAAAUCUUUUAAUGAAUUGAUUUGGUCAUAUGCCAUGUAUUUGCAAAGUGAACACAAGAUGUCCUUGGAAUUAUACAUUUUUCCCGUCAGAUCUUUAUGGUUUUGGAAGCAAGAAUCGUUUGUGUAAUGACAUUUUGUCCUAGAGGAAAAAAAAGUCACACUUCAUACCAUAUCCAUGACUUGCCAUAUUUUGUUAAUUAAUCUAUAUUAGAUAUUUUUUAUACUAAUGCAUUUUUUUUUAUUAUUAUAAUGGAUGUGUUUAAUUUUAUUACUGCCCGGAAAGUGAAAAUGUUGCCAGCAUUUAUUAUUUUUUUUUUCUUUUCAUUUUUACUUAAUGAACACAAAAUAUGAAAACUGAUAGUUUGGCUGUGCUAUGUUAGGAACAUAAAUUUUAAAAGUAAGUAUUUUAAUCAGUGCUCGAUGGAUUCGUUUAAAAGUGGUCCCAUAUUUUCUCUAGUGUUAGAGGCUGCAGUAUCAAUCAGUUUAUUCACAGGGUACAAUGAAGGCAUGAUUUUAACAAUUUGGCUUUGUGUCUGUUUGUACAGGUGUUGGUCAGAUAGUGCAAACAGUGGGAUUCUGAAAUGACUUACUCCAUACCACCCAAAUGUUCUUCUUUCAGGCCUAAAUCCUUUGAAUCCCAAAAUUUAUAUCCGGCCUCAGCUAGUUUUAAACUUAAAAAGCCAAGUUAAUAGAAGUAACAUCUCCGUACAUACCAUAGGAAAAUAUACAUGCUAUUUAAAUCUUAAAGGUUACCAACCAUCAAUAAAAAAGGACCAAAAGGCCAGACACAUGAGCUAAAAAGGUAUGUAAAUCUUUAUAUACAUUUAGAACCCUCUACAAGCACUAUAAAAAGUACAUUGUCCUAAAGGGACACUCCAAGCACUCUGCGCUUCCUGUAGGUGAAAAUUCUGAAGCCAGAUGCCACCAAAGGAGGAGUGGAGACCAGCGCUUGAGGCAACUUAAGGAACACUAUAGGCACCUAGACCACUUCAACUCAUUGAAGUGGUCUGGGUGCAGUGUCCCAGGUCCCUUAACCCUACAACGGUAAAUAUUGCAGUUUUUAAUAAACUGCAAUAAUUACUUUUUAAGGGUUAACUCCAUCUCUAGUGGCUGUAAUUGACACCGGGCAUCCUCAAGCUAUGCAUGAGGACAUUCAGCACCCGAAAACCCCAUAGGAAUUAAUUGUAUAAUGCUUUCCUAUUGAGAAAGUCCUAAUGCGAAUGCGCCGUUUGCCGCGCAUUAGGUACUUCCCUCCGGCUGACGUCAGCGACAAAGGUGGAGCCUGAACAGGGCCAGACGACUUUAGAGCUAGAAUCAAGUAAUGGAUUGGUGGGGGGACGGGAUGGGUAAACUAUAGGGAGCUAUAGUGCCAGGAAAGCAACUUUUUUUUUUUUUUUCUGAUACUAUAGUUUCUCUUUAAGGGUUAAAGGGAAACUCCAGUGCCAGGAAAACAAUCCGUUUCCGGGCACUGCAGUUCCCCUCUCCAUCCCACCCCCCAAUCCCCGGUUGCUGAAGGGGUGAAAACCUCGUCGCUGCUUCCGCCGCCGCUGCUGCUCCUCUGCAUUACGUCGGCCAGUGGGCGAGACUGAUCCCGCCCACCGGCUGGGGAGACCUAAUGCGCUAUGCCGUGCAUGCGCAUUAGCGCUCCCCAUAGGAAAGCAUUGAAAAUGCUUUUCAAUGCUUUCCUAUGGGGAAAUGAGCGACGCUGGAGGUCCUCACAUAGCAUGAGGACGUCCAGCGACGCUCUAGUACUUUCCUGUACUAGAAACCAGGAAGUGCCCUCUAAUGGCUGUCUAGUAGACAGCCACUAGAGGUGGAGUUAACCCUGCAAUGUAAUUAUUGCAGUUUAUAAAACACUGCAAUAAUUACACUUGCAGGGUUAAGAGUAGUGGGAGUUGGCACCCAGACCACUCCAAUGGGCAGAAGUGGUCUGGGUGUCUGGAGUGUCCCUUUAAACCGUUCAUGAACAGUUUAAACCCUUGAGGUAAGAGUGCCUGCAUGGUCCUCCUGGCCCAAAACAACUUCAUGUUGAUGGAGUUGUUUGGUGCCUAAAGAGUUCCUUUAACUGUGGUCUGCUCCCUGUUUCUGCUACAGACUGCUCUCUGUCUGAGCUAAAACUGGUGAUGCAGGGCUUAGCUCGUUGUCUGAGAGAAAUCCGCUGCUGCUCGCAGGUACUGAGCUACCCCAGUACCAAAACGGUGCAGAGGUGGGCAAGGGUACCAUUCUAAAUGGGCAAUGGUGCAAAUCUAAAGUGGCUUAACUUCUCACUAUAUGGUCCUGGCACCAUAACCACUACAGUGUGUUGAGAGAGUUUAUUUUUAGUGCCUCACAAGCUAAGGGAGCAAGUAGGACUCACAUUGUAAUCACACCUGGCAUAGCAUAACAUCACAUUUCAGUACAUUUAGUAUACAUGUUUUUGGACAUGGGCAAAUAAAGUAGAUUGGAAAGCACUAGAAUAUAACUUGUAUAGCUUAAAGGUACAGUCCAGGCACGAUGACCACUAAUGCCCAUUGCAGUGGUCUGGGUGCCAGCUCCCACUACCCUUAACCCUGCAACUGUAAUUAUUGCAGUUUUCAUAAACUGCAAUAAUUACCUUGCAGGGUUAACUCCUCCUCUGGUGGCUAUCUACUAGACAGCCACUAGAGGGCACUUCCUGGAUUAUUGCACAGAAAACCUGUGCUAGAGCGUCACUGGAUGUCCUCACGCUGUGUGAGGACCUCCAGCGUCGCUCAAUUCCCCAUAAGAAAGCAUUGAAAAGCAUUUUCAAUUCUUUCCUAUGGAGAGCUCUAAUGCACAUGCACGGCAUUGACGCGCAUGAGCAUUAGGUCUCCUCAGCUGGCGGGCUGAUGUAAUGAAGGGGAGGAGCGGCGGCGACCUGAAAUCACUGCCGAGGGACAUCGGCUCGGGUCUCAGGUAAGUCACUGAAGGGGUUUUCACCCCUUCAGCAACCGGGGAUGGGUGGUGGGAGGGAGAGGGGACCUGCAGUGCCAGGAAAACUGAUUGUUUUCCUGACACUGGAGAGUCCCUUUAAAGGAACACUCCAAGCCCCAUGACUACUACCACUGACUGUUGUGGUUAUAAUGUCAGGAGUAACCUUCCCCCUCCCAUUGUCAGUAGUUAAACCAUUUUUAGAAUGGUGCAGUAGCUUUCACUCUCAACCCUUCUCUUUAUUCCAUCCUCCUACUGGACUAUUUAAAUAACUUCAAUUUUCUCAUCUCCCAUAACUGUUCUUUUUUUUUUAAUUUUGUAUAUUUAAUUUCCAUUUUUGUACAAUAGAGUUCUCUCCCUAUACAGGUUGUGUUAUGAGAUGCUAUGAAUACAUUUAAAAAAGGCUUGGAUGCUUUUUUGCAUAAACCUAAUAUUCAAGGAUAUAAUUGAUAUGUAUAUAAACAGGUUGUUGAUCUAAGGAGAAAUCUGAUUGCCAUUAUGGCAGGAAGAAUGAUUUCUUUCCCUUUUAGUAGCAUAAUUGGGAAUGGCUUUAGUUGUUUGUUUUUGCUGCCUUCUUGAUCAACAGCAUAAAAGAAUGGGCUUCACGGUCGAACUUGAUGGACUUUAGUCUUUAUUUCAGGUUAGACAACAAUGUUACUGUAUAAGAAUAAGUCAAUGUACAGCUUUUACACAAAAUGAAAAUGCUGUAAAGAUAAUACAUUGUCUGUAUAAAUGGGGGGGUCAAAUCCUACCUAGAGAAUCCCUUGAAUAUCUCCACCCUCAAAAUAACUGGAGUCCCUAGGCAUCAUCUUACCUUAAGGUGUUUCUGAAUGGUUUACCACCAAAGUUGCGUCCUUGGGUACCCAUUCAUGUUACCUCCCCUUUACUCUGUUUGACCUUCCUGCAAAAAAACAUUGCCUUGCAUGUUAGUGAUAGACUGAAGGUGUCACAUAUCUCUAACAUACUGUUACUCACAGGCACUCAAGACAGAGAAGAGGGAAGUCCAGGGCCCCAAGAUGUGCUAAACCAUUGAAGAUCACCAUAGAUUCCAGCCUCCAAAAUGAAUUCAUUGUGAUAAUGUUGUAAGAAUGGAAAGUAGAGAUAAUUGUUUGUUUGCACUAGCUGUUCUGUGACUGUAAAAUAUUUUGUAAGAUUUUACUGUUACAAUCAAACAUGGUGUACUGAUGAAAAUAUUGUUAUUGUUUUUUUUUGUUUCAUAGGUAAUCAUUGACUUCUAAGUGCUAAAAAAAUGAGUCACCUCAGGGCCUUCACUGCCAGAUUAAAGCCAUAUGGUAUUUCUUUGCUGGCGAUGAAAGCUACAGCCCCAAGGCCUACACUACCGAGAUGUUGCCUACAUUCUUCUGGGAGCAAAGAGCCAUUCUUAAGUGGUACCAAUUCUAGUUACGUGGAAGAAAUGUAUUAUGCAUGGCUGGAGAAUCCAAAAAGUGUCCACAAG